AGAUAUUAUUAUUAUUAUAUGCAACCUGAUAGUCUUUUAAAAUAUCUUUUAUCUCAUCUUUUUCCUCAGCUUUAUUUUUUUAUUUUUAUUAUUUUUUUUUUGAGAAAGAGGUAGCGAGCUAUCUGUUUCAUUCAUUAAGCAAAAUGAACUAAACGUACAUAAUGGAAGCAGCUAAGGCGUCAUAAGAAGCAGCAAAAAGAAGGAAAUGAACAAGAAAGAAAAAAUAGAGAAAUACAAAAAUGAGAGAACAGAUAGAGAAAUACAAAAGUGAGAGAACAGGAAAAGAAAGAAAGUUUCAAAU
This 301-nucleotide long non-coding RNA is filed under the name Ananas comosus (pineapple). RNAcentral describes it as "long non-coding RNA (ACOM_LNC000926)". Lineage: Eukaryota; Viridiplantae; Streptophyta; Magnoliopsida; Poales; Bromeliaceae. The record is from RNAcentral.